Molecule: ribosomal RNA, 1380 nt
Filed under: Engystomops petersi (Peters' dwarf frog)
Lineage: Eukaryota; Metazoa; Chordata; Amphibia; Anura; Leptodactylidae
Description: partial 16S ribosomal RNA
Rfam family: Bacterial large subunit ribosomal RNA
Source: RNAcentral
AGCUAAAAACUUAGCCUUACCCUACAAUUAUAUUUACCCUAUUUUACUUACACAAAAUAAAACAUUCUUUAAGCUUAGUAAAGGAGAUAAAAAAGUUUUUUAGAGCUAUAAAAUAAGUACCGCAAGGGAAAAAUGAAAUAAAAAUGAAACAAAAUUCAAGCAUAAUAUAGUAGAGCUUUCCCCUCGUACCUUUUGCAUCAUGAUUCAACUAGUUUAACCACGCAAAAAGAGUUUAAGUUUGACUUCCCGAAACUAAGUGAGCUACUUCAGGGCAGCUAAAUGAGCCAACCCGUCUCUGUUGCAAAAGAGUGGGGUGACCCUUAAGUAGAGGUGAUAAGCCUAACGAACUUAGUGAUAGCUGGUUAUUCAGGAAAAGAAUUUUAGUUCAAUUUAAAAUUACAUAAAUAAAAUAAAAUAAAAUUUUAAUUUUAAAGCAAUUCAAAUAAGGUACAGCCUAUUUGAAAUAGAAUACAAUCUAAACUAUAGGGUAAAUAUAAAAAUUAAUACAAUAAAGUAGGCCUAAAAGCAGCCAACUUUAAAAUAGCGUCAAAGCUUACUUCCAUAAAUUUUUAAUACCAUUAUUCACAAUAAACCCUUUAUUUUCACUGAAUAUUUCUAUAAAAUUAUAGAACCUUUUAUGUUGAAACUAGUAACAAGAAGUUAAACUUCUCCUUAAUGUAAGUAUAAGUCGACUAGGAUGAACCAUCGACAAUUAACGCUAAAAUUAAAUGUAUUAACUCCACAAGAAAAACUUACAUUACCCCACGUUAAUCUUACACCAGAACAUUUAAGGAAAGAUUUAAAAAAAAGGAAGGAACUCGGCAAACAUUAACCCCGCCUGUUUACCAAAAACAUCGCCUUCUGAUAUACUAUAGAAGGUCCAGCCUGCCCAGUGAAUUAAUUUAACGGCCGCGGUAUCCUAACCGUGCGAAGGUAGCGUAAUCACUUGUUCUUUAAAUAAGGACUAGUAUGAAUGGCACCACGAAGGUUAUACUGUCUCCCUUUUUUGAUCAGUUAAACUAAUCUUCACGUGAAGAAGCGUGAAUAAAUAUAUAAGACGAGAAGACCCUAUGGAGCUUAAAAUUACACAACAAUUGCUAAAAAAUCCUAAAUUUUAUGAAUAAUUUUUUACUAAACACCAUGAUUGCUAAUUUUUGGUUGGGGUGACCGCGGAGUAAAAAUUAACCUCCACAAUGAAAGAAAUUAAUAUUCUAAACUAAGAGCUACAACUCAAAGUAUUAAUAUUUUAACAUUCUUUGAUCCAAUAUUUGAUCAACGAACAAAGUUACCCUAGGGAUAACAGCGCAAUCUACUUUGAGAGCUCCUAUCGACAAGUAGGUUUACGACCUCGAUGUUGGAUCAGGGUAUCCUAGUGGUGCA